GUGUGUGAGAGCGGGCCUGGGCCAGGCCUCAAGAAGUGACUGGACAGAGACCAGGCAGGGAGGCUGCGGGGAUGGGAGGAGCGUGAGAACCAGAGCACGCUUGCAUUUGGUUGUCAGCAAAUGUGCACAAGCCUGCCUGAUCCGUGAGGGAGCUGGAGCGUGUGGGUGUGCAGUCAGCAGUGACACAGGGCCUUGUUUUCUUUCUUUCUUUUUAAAUAAUACCUUCCUUUUGCCUACUGAAGCAGGGUUCACAAAGGGCCUUUUCAAAGAUUUUAGUUUUUAAAAAAUUUAUUCUUAAACUAGUAAGGAAGUCCUGGAAGGUAUGAUGAGUCCUGUUUUCAAUGCUGUGGAACAUUCAUCCGAAGAAGGAAAUCUGAUGCCUUUGUAUCUGCAACCAUCCUGCAAACACCUCAUUGUGAAGUAUAAGUGCUGCUUUGACCAAGAAGGUAAGACCCUCUUUUGUUGUUUUCCAUCGAGCCAUAGGACAAUGUGAUCCAAUGGAAGAGACU
This 509-nucleotide long non-coding RNA is filed under the name Fukomys damarensis (Damara mole-rat). RNAcentral's name for it is "lncRNA (ENSFDAG00000026336.1)". Lineage: Eukaryota; Metazoa; Chordata; Mammalia; Rodentia; Bathyergidae. The record is from RNAcentral.